AAACCUGAGAAACCCGAAAGAUCGAAUGGGGAGAUUCAUCGUCAGCGAUUCUGGUACGUGUACGGUUCGCGAUGUCGCGGGACUUCGGUCUCGUGACACGCGUCCGUAUGUUUUUUAUUGCCGGAAUCGUCGGCGUGCACUUCUCCCCUAGUAGGACGUCGCGACCCGUUGGGUGUCGGUCUACGGCACGGCAUGGUAGCCUGUCACGUGUGUCGCUUCGCGGUGUGUUCACGCGGGGCAGACCGCCGUUCGCCCGACCGGCUGCCCGGCGGUACUCGCAAGGUAUCUGGCCGCAGACAUACGAACUGCGUCCGGCCCGUCGCAAGCGCGGCAAGUGUUUCCCGGCUGUACGGAUCCAAUGCCGUCACCGGGCCUUGCCGCCUGUUGGUUGACGGUGUCCUAGGACUGGCUAACAGAUACCGGUCGGCGACGCUACUGCUUUGGGUACUUUCAGGACCCGUCUUGAAACACGGACCAAGGAGUCUAACAUGUGCGCGAGUCAUUGGGAGCUAUUAAGCCUAAAGGCGCAAUGAAAGUGAAGAUCGGCCUUUAGCGCCGAUCGAGGGAGGAUGGGCCGCGUCACGAUGCGGUCCCGCACUCCCGGGGCGUCUCGUUCUCAU
This 620-nucleotide ribosomal RNA is filed under the name Hymenura nigra. Its description in RNAcentral is "eukaryotic LSU rRNA". It matches the Rfam family "Eukaryotic large subunit ribosomal RNA", at positions 417 to 780 of the family's 3401-position model. Lineage: Eukaryota; Metazoa; Arthropoda; Insecta; Hymenoptera; Ichneumonidae. The record is from RNAcentral.